This 487-nucleotide ribosomal RNA is filed under the name uncultured bacterium. RNAcentral describes it as "partial 16S ribosomal RNA". It matches the Rfam family "Bacterial small subunit ribosomal RNA", at positions 28 to 507 of the family's 1533-position model. The record is from RNAcentral.
GACGAACGCUGGCGGCGUGCUUAACACAUGCAAGUCGAACGGGCUCUGUCUGGCUGUGUGCUGGGUGGGGUUAGUGGCGAACGGGUGAGUAAUACGUGAGUAACCUGCCCUCUUCUUUGGGAUAAGCCUUGGAAACGGGGUCUAAUACUGGAUAUUCCUGUCUGGUCGCAUGGCUGGGUGGGGAAAGUUUUUUUCGGUGGGGGAUGGGCUCGCGGCCUAUCAGCUUGUUGGUGGGGUGAUGGCCUACCAAGGCGUCGACGGGUAGCCGGCCUGAGAGGGGGACCGGGCACACUGGGACUGGGAUACGGCCAAGACGCCUACGGGAGGCAGCAGUGGGGGAGAGUGGGGAGUGGGCGCGAGCCUGAUGCAGCGAGGCCGCGUGGAGGAUGACGGCUUUCGGGUUGUAAACCUCUUGCGUCGGGGGACAAGGCUCUGCUUGGUGGUGGGGUUGAGGGUACCCGGUGAAGAAGCGCCGGCUAACUACGUG